Molecule: long non-coding RNA, 1111 nt
Filed under: Rhinopithecus bieti (black snub-nosed monkey)
Lineage: Eukaryota; Metazoa; Chordata; Mammalia; Primates; Cercopithecidae
Description: lncRNA (ENSRBIG00000045186.1)
Source: RNAcentral
GCAAAGUUGAAUAUUUAGUUGUCCUCUCCACAAAGAGAUUUUUCUCUCAUUGUUUGCCUUAGAGGUCAUGAGGUAUAUUUUCAUUAAUAAGAUACAAGGCCGGGCGCGGUGGCCCAGCACUUUGGGAGGCCGAGACGGGCGGAUCACGAGGUCAGGAGAUCGAGACCAUCCUGGCUAACAUGGUGAAACCUCGUCUCUACUAAAAAAAUACAAAAAACUAGCCGGGCAAGGUGGCGGGCGCCUGUAGUCCCAGCUACUCGGGAGGCUGAGGCAAGGAGAAUGGCGUGAACCCGGGAGGCGGAGCUUGCAGUGAGCUGAGAUCCGGCCACUGCACUCCAGCCUGGGCGACAGAGCGAGACUCCGUCUCAAAAAAAAAAAUAAGAUACAAAAUAGUGGCCUUUCCUUCUAGAAAACUUCAGAAAAAGGAGACGAAGAGAAUCUGAGCUCCUCUGCCUACUGAAGAGAUACUGGCAUGUCAGGACAUGGACUGUGACCUUGUAAGAGUAGAGAAGAAGGUCUUGUAGUUGAUAGAUGCAGCCUGGGUCACCAGGUUUGAACCUUUCACAGAGCAUAAUCCAGAUCAGCAGGGAACUCACCUGAGGCCAACACACCUGUGUGGUUCCUAGGCUACAGUCUGAAGAGCCCUGCAAUCCACAGUGAGACAUCCUACCACCCUGCCCAAGACAACAUGUUCCACAUUUCUCAAGGAAAGAGAGACCUUUCAGAAAUAGAGAUGAAUCUCUAUAAUGAGAAGACAAAUAGCAGUUAGGAGAACGUUGGCUUUCUUCCCCAAGUGAGGGCAUUAAGGAUGGCUGUGACACAGAUCAGGUAUGGAUUCAGAUAAUGGGGACUACAGGACAAAAGACUCUUCCAAAGCCAGGAUCUCAGCCCCAAAACCAAAGGAUGAGGAAUUCUCCAUUCACAGAAAUUGUGGCAGAAUAUCAGCACUUGUCAUCUUUUUGAGGAUGAUUCAUCAAAAGGCUAUCUCCUGGCCAGGUGCGGUCACUCACGCCUGUAAUCCCAGCACUUUGGGAGGCCGAGGUGGGCAGAUCACCUGAGGUUGGGAGUUCGAGACCAGCCUGGCCAACAUAGUGAAAAUCCAUCUCUCCUA